This 1071-nucleotide unclassified non-coding RNA is filed under the name Hevea brasiliensis (rubber tree). Lineage: Eukaryota; Viridiplantae; Streptophyta; Magnoliopsida; Malpighiales; Euphorbiaceae. The record is from RNAcentral.
UAGCCUUUCAUGGAAGUCUUUUGAUGAAUAACAUGGUUCAUUUACAAGUGAUGCUCGUAAUGUUAGACCCGGAUUGGCAACUGAUGGUUUCUAGCCUUUUGAAAAUAUGAGCUCCCAACAUAGCAUUUGGCCUGUAAUUCUUAUACCCUAUAACUUGCCCCCUUGGAUUUGUAUGAAGCAGACCAAUUUGAUGAUGUCAAUGAUUAUUCCAGGUAAGCAUAGUCCAGGAAUGGGUAUAAAUAUUUUUUUUGCAACCUUUAAUUACUGAAUUAAAAGAGUUGUGGGAGGUUGGUGUGGACACUUAUGAUGCACAUAGCAAAAAGAACUUCACAUUGCAUGCAUCCAUUAUUUGGACAAUAAGUGAUUUUCUAGCUUAUGGAGAUUUAUCAGGGUGGUCAAUAAAUGGUUACAAGGCUUGUUUUGCUUGCCACAAAUAUACUAGUGCAAAACACCUUGCUUGUUCAAAGAAAAUGUGCUAUAUGGAUCAUAAAAGGUUUUUGCCUCCUAGUCAUAAAUGGCGUAAGGACACUAAGUCCUUCAAUGGCUUUAGAGAGAUAAGAGCAAUUCCAAAACCACUAUCAGGUGAUGAGCUGUUAAUGGAGCUUUAAACUUUCACUCAAAUGCCAUGUAAUAGAGGCAUCAAAAGGAAGUAUGAUGCUUCAAAUAGUUUCGAGAAUUGGAGGAAGAAGAGUAUCUUUUUUCAGUUACCCUAUUGGAAGACACUUCUUAUUCGGCAUAAUCUGGAUGUGAUGCACAUUGAAAAGAAUGUGUGUGAUAAUGUGUUAGAAACUAUAAUGAACAUCAAAGGAAAGACAAAAGAUAAUUUAAAUAGCCGUUAUGAUUUGAUGAGUAUGGGCAUUAGACACGAGCUUCACCGAAUUGUGAAUGGAAAUAAUGUUUGUGUCCCAAUGGCAUAAUAUGUGCUUUCUAAUCAUGAAAAGGAUGUAACACCCCAAAGUUCGGUAGUGCGUUCUACUGCUCCGGUGACCAGUGCUGUCCGGACAGUUAGGAUGCCUAGAACCACACUUCAAUAUGAAUGAGGAGACAUAAAUAAUGAAAUACAAGAAAAGA